Molecule: long non-coding RNA, 1455 nt
Organism: Alosa alosa (allis shad)
Lineage: Eukaryota; Metazoa; Chordata; Actinopteri; Clupeiformes; Clupeidae
Exons: 5
Source: RefSeq, a predicted model, not a curated record
AACGUUCAUUUCUCAACAUUCCUACUCCUUUAAGGGUUAACAUGUAAAUGAAAAUGCUGUGAGCUAUACAAAUGCAAAUCAGGGUAGCAGGGAGAGUGAACUGUGACUGGCAUGACUGUGGCCUUUGGUCUUGCUUAAACAACUCCCAGUAAUACGCUCAACAGGCAGAAAUGAUGCUGGGUAUGACAUGUCUAUUCCCUGCAAGCUCCAAUAAUGUAACCUGACUUAAAACAGUCGAUAGAGUUUAGAUUCAGAUUUUCCCUUCACACCAACACAAUGAGAAUUUCAGAGGCAAAUAUAUAAAUGAUUGUCUUUAUCACUAUCUUCAUUCAACAAAAAUAUAUGCAAAACUGAAUGCAGAGAAUGGACAUCUGAUUUCGGAAAAUCCGAGCCAGCCGUAGCAUACCAGGGUUCACUCGGAGACACAUAGGCGCUACCGGAACAAUGGUAAGAUUUAAAGAAUACUAUGCUUUCAUUCUGCUGUAGGCUAUAAGGAAAUAGAUAGGCUACAUUGAUAGAUACAGAUCUUAACUGUACAUUUUGCUUUCACAGACUAACUUUGCCUCUUAAUGGGGUCGUGGGAGAGAAAAACUUUAAGAAGAGAAGACUGGUGCACAAUCCCAAGCUUGCGGAAGCAGUACGCCGUCUUCACAACUCGGAGACAAAUUGCAGGCGCUACGAACUGGAGCAAGGACUAAUCUCGCCUCAUAAUGAGGCGGUGACCUCCUAUUUGCUCGGAGCAAUAUCUGCAAGUCCAGAUUUACACGAUGUUGAUAAAGACGACAUUGUGUCCGCCUGUAAGACAUAUUACGAGACGGUACGCAGGAGCUUUAGAUAUACCCAGCCAGAAAACCCAUUGCGGGCGGAAGCUGCGAAGAGUUCAGCUCGGAGUCGAGCGAGAAGUAAGAGGCUGCUGGAAUCGAGACAGAGUGUGCUAGCAGAUGACGAGGUGGAACUAUGGAAGUCCGCCACCGUAGACCUCACGUCUGACGAAGAAGAUGGCGUUGUUGGCUGGGUCUCUACAUUAUUAUUGGGGAUCUGCCAACCAAUCACGAGUGAUUUUACUUGUUUGAAAGUUGUGGUUUCAUCCAAUACUAAGUAAGGAAAUUCAAGCCUGGCCUGGCCAGGUGUGGUUUUGCUGCCAAUCACGAGUGAUUUUUCUUGUUUCAAAGUAGUGGUUUCAUCCAAUACUGAGUAAGGAUAUUCAAGCCAGGCCUGGCCAGCCGCGGUUUCGUUGCAUUCAUAUGCUAAUUAGGGCCAUUAGCACUCUGAAAGCUCUCCACAUACGUCAUUGUCCGGUUCCGACAAUUUGUGGCACAGACAAACGGCGACAAGCGCGGGUUGCAAAUUGUCGUCAACUACCGAAAAUGAGGGAGAUCUCCGGUCGUUUACGGGGACGAAAAUCACACUUUUCAUGCAGUGUUUACCUGCUGGGAAACCCUGUAGCUCCGGAGC